GGAGUUAGCCGGUGCUUCUUCUGUGAGUGAUGUCCUUCCUGCCGGUUAUUGACCCGCAGGCCUUCUUCCUCACUGAAAGUGCUUUACAACCCGAAGGCCUUCUUCACACACGCGGCAUGGCUGGAUCAGGGUUACCCCCAUUGUCCAAUAUUCCCCACUGCUGCCUCCCGUAGGAGUCUGGGCCGUGUCUCAGUCCCAGUGUGGCUGAUCAUCCUCUCAGACCAGCUACGGAUCGUCGCCUUGGUGAGCCGUUACCUCACCAACCAGCUAAUCCGACAUAGGCUCAUCCGAUAGCGCGAGGCCCGAAGGUCCCCCGCUUUCCCCCGUAGGGCGUAUGCGGUAUUAGCCUGGGUUUCCCCAGGUUAUCCCCCACUACCGGGCAGAUUCCUAUGCAUUACUCACCCGUCCGCCGCUCGCCACCAGGGAGCAAGCUCCCCGUGCUGCCGCUCGACUUGCAUGUGUUAGGCCUGCCGCCAGCGUUCAAUCUGAGCCAGAAUCAAACUCUGA
This 507-nucleotide ribosomal RNA is filed under the name uncultured bacterium. RNAcentral's name for it is "partial 16S ribosomal RNA". The record is from RNAcentral.